CCUGGCUCAGGACGAACGAUGGCGGCGUGCCUAAUACAUGCAAGUCGAACGGCAGCGGGGUAGUGCUUGCACUUGGUCAAGGUGAGUGGCGAACGGGUGAGUAACACGUGGGUAACCUACCUCAUAGUGGGGGAUAACAGUCGGAAACGACUGCUAAUACCGCAUAGGACAUGGGAUCACAUGAUUCUGUGAGGAAAGGUGGCGCAAGCUAUCGCUAAGAGAUGGACCCGCGGUGCAUUAGCUAGUUGGUAGGGUAACGGCCUACCAAGGCAAUGAUGCAUAGCCGACCUGAGAGGGUGAUCGGCCACAUUGGGACUGAGACACGGCCCAAACUCCUACGG
This 341-nucleotide ribosomal RNA is filed under the name uncultured bacterium. RNAcentral describes it as "bacterial SSU rRNA". It matches the Rfam family "Bacterial small subunit ribosomal RNA", at positions 18 to 344 of the family's 1533-position model. The record is from RNAcentral.